AUGAAGCCCGUGUGGAAGGACCAUCGUCCUCUCAGCAGUGUCCUGCUGCUGGUGCUUACCAGUGGAGGAAGUGCUACCGAUCUCAUUAGCCACCAGGACGUCCAGAAGCAAAGCCGGAGGCUCCACAGAAACGUCAGCGGCAACAUGCGAGGGCAGUGCAGCCAGCUCCACGACAGGUCCAGACAGGGAAGCUUUAGGAGCACGGGUACUACUUACUGUGGACGAGGGUUGGUCAAGGAAGGCUUUCUGGAGGAGGUGACAGCUAGGCUGGGUCUUAAGGAUGAAUGGGAAGAGAGAGGAGAACAUGUGGAUAAGGCCAGGCAGAAGGGCUACACAGCCAAGUCACAGCCAAGACGAAAUGCGGGGAGAGUUCUGGAAGCUGCGUGUUUGGUGCUGCUGGGUAGUGUGGAAGGACAGGCUGGAGCUAGGUAGCUAAGCAGCUUGGCAAAUGGAGCUACUGAGGAUUCCAAACAGGACCUCUGCAGUCAUCUCCACUGCUUAUGGGUUGAACCACGUGAAAUAGACAAUAUUCGGCCAUUUAGGGCCAAGACAAAUGCCAGCUUUGCAGGGUGCAGCCUCACAGAGAGGCUGCUUGGGGGCCUUUGCAGAGGGUGGAUGAGCAGAGGGCAUCCUCCGGAACCUGCUUGGGGACCCGGCUCUGAGGCCGUCGGGCCAGUGGUGUCCAGAUUCUCGUGUAGGCUGGGAGAAAGGGGAGGUUCAAGAAACACGGAGGAAGUGAAGCGGCAGAGCCGGGGGGAUGGGGUGCCACAGAGGAGAAGGAGCACUGAGGCUGAGGUCCAGGCUUGCAGACACGUGGACCAUGAGUAUCCUGCCAGGUCUGUGGGUGUCUCUUCUGAGCUACACCAGUUUCCAGGUUACCUGGGACCAUGGAUAACUCUCAGAUCAGCAACUUGUCAGUUGAUUUCCAAGCUGCUGUUGGCUGGACUCAGACUCAGCAGGGAGCACCUGGGCGAGCCCUGCGCUGCGGGCUGGACUCCGGCCCAUCUCGCUGAUUACUCUUGCUUUUGCUCCCCAGUGUGUCCUCAAGAGGCCAGAGCCUGCUUGUUGUUUCUUCAUGACCAGGGGAGGAGGGGCACCAACAUGAGGGUGCUAGCAUCUCCCCAGUGGUGGCUUCCCAGGGCUGGGGAAACCCUGGGGGAGGGGUUGGGACAGGGACCUCUGUCGCUUGCUGCCACUGCCUGGGUCAACUGCCUGGCAGGGCUGGCCGCUCGUGCUCAGAAGGCUGGGGCCUUACCUGCCUUCUCCUCUUACCCAGCGCCCAUGCAAGGACACAUCUGA
Gorilla gorilla gorilla (western lowland gorilla) is the source of this 1299-nucleotide long non-coding RNA. RefSeq lists it as uncharacterized. The record is from RefSeq and is a predicted model, not a curated record. NCBI's taxonomy places the organism in Eukaryota, Metazoa, Chordata, Mammalia, Primates, Hominidae. The transcript has 4 exons.